Molecule: long non-coding RNA, 666 nt
Organism: Cephus cinctus (wheat stem sawfly)
Lineage: Eukaryota; Metazoa; Arthropoda; Insecta; Hymenoptera; Cephidae
Exons: 3
Source: RefSeq, a predicted model, not a curated record
UGCAAAAAAUUAGGGAGCGCAAGUGUAGGAGUGGGUGGAAGGUGGGGAGAAAGAUGGUUACCUGUGAGAUAUCUUCGCAGCAUCUCGUCAGUACCUUGGUGGCAAUUGCGAGAUACAAGUAAAUAAAAAAAAGUGGUAAUAAAAAAGAAGUGAAAAACAAAAACAGUUUAAAACCAGCGGUAGGUGUAAAAAAAAAAUAUUUUUCUCGUUUUCAAUUUCUACCAUUGUUAUUUCAUCUAAUGUUUACCCUGGUUCUAGGAUAAUUCCGGGAAAAAAGUGGAGACAAAAAAGAAAAGUGGUAUCUAUAGUGGUGUUAAGAUUGUACACAUUUUUAUUUGAUUUGAAAAAAUUUAUUUUAUAUCUGGUAUCUUUUACCUUUAUUUCUAGACAUUAGCAAAAAGAAAGAAAAAGCAUGAGCUUUCUGUUUACCGCCGGUUGUUACCGAAAUUCACAACCACCACCAUCAUCACCGCAACCUGCAAUAGCCCCAACAACGCAUUACUAGAUCGAUUAUGGCACCACGGACGCCUGAUAUACUGCCCGAGGGGGUUGAGGAACCAUUUGAGGGGCCACUGCUAGAUGGCAUACCGCCACCCUUAAACGCUUUCUUCGCCCCCUUCCAUGAAGGGCAGUGUUUUUUCGGUUGUUUGUACGUACGGGGUGUGG